GACGAACGCUGGCGGCGUGCUUAACACAUGCAAGUCGAACGGAAGGGCGCUGCGCUUGUGUCGUGCUUGAUUGGCGAACGGGUGAGUAACACGUGAGUAUCCUCCACCUGACUUUGGGGUAACUUCACGAAACUGGGGCUCAUACCCGAUAGGAUCUCCUGAUGCGUGGGGGUGGUUAGAAAAUUUCGGCGGUGGGGGCUGGUUUCGAGGCUUAUCCGCUUGUUGGUCGAGUAGGUGAUUUCCAAGCCUUCCACGGCUAGCCGGCCUGGGAGCGUGACCGGGCACAUUGGGACUGCGGUACGCCGCAGACGCCUAUGUGCGGCAGCAGUGGGGAAUCUUGCACAGUGGGCGGAAGCGUGAUGCGGCAAUGCCGCGUGCGGGAUGACGGCCUUCGGGUGGUAAACAGAUUUCGAAUGAGACGAAGAGUGAGUGACGGUAAUGGGUAAAGAAGCACCGGCUAACUACGUG
This 468-nucleotide ribosomal RNA is filed under the name uncultured bacterium. RNAcentral describes it as "partial 16S ribosomal RNA". It matches the Rfam family "Bacterial small subunit ribosomal RNA", at positions 28 to 507 of the family's 1533-position model. The record is from RNAcentral.